Molecule: long non-coding RNA, 303 nt
Filed under: Elaeis guineensis (African oil palm)
Lineage: Eukaryota; Viridiplantae; Streptophyta; Magnoliopsida; Arecales; Arecaceae
Description: long non-coding RNA (EGUI_LNC044420)
Source: RNAcentral
UCUUCUCUUGGCCUUAGGCACCGUCAUCAGCCACCAAGUUCUCUAGAAAACCAUUGAAAGACAAACCUCUAUUUCAUCCCCUAUUUAAUCAAACUUCUUGCCUCUUUUCUAAUCAUUGACCAUGCCGCACCCUAGGUUGACUUGUCUGGCCUCCCUAUGACCCUGUCUGAAAGUCAUGGCCGCAGGUGAAUAGCCAAUGACUAAAAAAAUCAAGUCAAGGGCCAGAUCCCCUUGAUUUUGAGCCCUUUCCCAUGCUUUCUUGCUAGUCAAUCAUUGCUAUCUGCUAUCCACUGUGCUGGUCCC